AAAGAGUGCGUAACAGCUCACCGGUAGAAGAGGACUGCGCCGAAAAUGUAACGGAGCUAAAGCCGCGCACCGAAGCUACGGUAUAGCCGAAAGGCUAUAGGUAGGGGAGCGAUGUGCGAGGGAGAAGCAUAACUGAAAGGUUAUGUGGACGAAGCACAAGAGAGAAUGCAGGCAUGAGUAACGAAAUGGGAGUGAGAAUCUCCCACCCCUAAAGUCUAAGGGUACCUGGGGAAGGGUCGUCCGCCCAGGGUAAGUCGGGACCUAAGGUAAACCCGAAAGGGGUAGCCGAUGGAAAACGGGUAAAGAAUCCCGUACCGGUAAAAGAGGAGCUACAAGGGGGGACACAGGAGGUAAAGCUACCGAGACAGGGUUGCAAAUCUUCCAAGCGACGAUGCCGAAGAAGCUGGUAGGAAAACCCGCCGGUGGAGGAGGAGUCGUGAUGGGGAGGCCGCAAGGCCAACGGUAGAUAAUCACACUGUCGAGAAAAGCCUCGUGUAGCUAAGAUCCUUUUACUGCCCGUUCUGGAAACCGACACAGGUAGACGAGCUGAGAAGGCAAAGGGGAGCGGAAUAACCUUCGUUAAGGAACUAGGCAAAAUGGCCCCGUAACUUCGGGAGAAGGGGUGGACUAUUAGUGUGAGCAAUCAUGCUAAUAGAGCCGCAGUGACAAGUCCCUAGCGACUGUUUACCAAAAACACAGGUCUCUGCGAACACGGAAGUGGAAGUAUAGGGACUGACGCCUGCCCAGUGCCGGAAGGUUAAGGGGAGGGGUGCGAGCCUCGAACUGAAGCCCCGGUAAACGGCGGCCGUAACUAUAACGGUCCUAAGGUAGCGAAAUUCCUUGUCGGGUAAGUUCCGACCUGCAUGAAUGGCGUAACGACUAGGGAGCUGUCUUAACGGAGGAUCCGGUGAAAUUACAAGCUCGGUGAAGACGCCGAGGACCCGCAGCUAGACGGAAAGACCCCGUGGAGUUUUACUGUAACCUGACAUUGUAACUUAUCGUUGUAUGUACAGGAUAGGCGGGAGGCGGAGAAAGCUGCUCGCCAGGGCAGCUGGAGCCGACAGUGGGAUACCGCUCUUACAACGAUGGGUUACUAACGGGAGAAAGUGAAGAGCUUGACCUGGACAGUGUUAGGAGGGCAGUUUAACUGGGGCGGUUGCCUCCCAAAAGGUAACGGAGGUGUUCGAAGGUAGGCUCAAGUGGGUUGGGAAUCCACUGAAGAGUGCAAAGGCAAAAGCCUGCUUAACUGAGAGACUGACGAGUCGAACAGGAGGGAAACCUGGACUUAGUGACCCGGCGGUUCUGAGAGGAAGGGCCGUCGAUCAACGGAUAAAAGUUACCCCGGGGAUAACAGACUAAUCACGCCCGAGAGUUCACAUCGACGGCGUGGAUUGGCACCUCGAUGUCGGCUCAUCGCAACCUGGGGCUGAAGCCGGUCCCAAGGGUUGGGCUGUUCGCCCAUUAAAGCGGUACGUGAGCUGGGUUCAGAACGUCGUAAGACAGUUCGGUCCCUAUCUGCUGCGGGGGUAGGAAGCUUGAAGGGGGUUGCUCCUAGUACGAGAGGACCGGAGUGAGUAUGUCCCUGGUGAAUCAGCUGUUAUGCAAAUAGCAGGAGCUGAGUAGCUACACAUAUAACCGAUAACCGCUGAAAGCAUCUAAGCGGGAAACGGGCCCAAACAAUAGGCUUCCCACUCUUAGGAGGUAAGGGCAGUCUGAGAAGAAGACGUAGAUAGGCCGCAGGUGUAAGUACUGAGAAGUAUUGAGCCGAGCGGUACUAAUAGCCCGAGGCUUUG
RNAcentral lists this ribosomal RNA (1793 nucleotides) under Petrotoga sp. SL27. RNAcentral's name for it is "bacterial LSU rRNA". It matches the Rfam family "Bacterial large subunit ribosomal RNA", at positions 1125 to 2925 of the family's 2925-position model. Lineage: Bacteria; Thermotogati; Thermotogota; Thermotogae; Petrotogales; Petrotogaceae. The record is from RNAcentral.